GAUGAACGCUGGCGGCGUGCCUAACACAUGCAAGUCGAACGGUCUCUUCGGGGAUAGUGGCGGGCGGGUGAGUAACGCGUGAGAAACUACCUUUAGGUUCGGGGCAACAGUUUGGAACGGCUGCUAAAACCGAAAGUGUCGCAAGAUGAAAGAUUAAAUUCCUGAAGAAGAGCUCGCGUCCGAUUAGCUAGUUUGUGUGGUAAGAGCGCACCCAGGCGACGAUCGGUAGCUGGUCUGAGAGGGUGAUCAGCCCCACUGGGGCUGAGACACGGCCCCGACUCCUACGGGGGGCAGCAGUGGGGGAUUUUCCGCAAAGGGCGAAAGCCUGACGGGGCAACGCCGCGUGAGGGAGGGAGGCUCUUUGGUUUUAAACCUCUUUUAUCAAGGGAGAUAAAGACGGUACUUUAUGAAACAGCAUCGGCUAACUCCGUGCCCGCAGCCGCGGUAAAACGGGGGGUGCAAGCGUUAUCCGGGAUAAAUUGGCGUAAAGCGUUCGUAGGUGGUUAUGUAAGUCUGCUGUUAAAGCGUGUAGCUUAACUACAUAUAGGCAGUGGGAACUACAAGACUAGAGUGCGUUCGGGGCAGAGGGGAUUCCUGGUGUAGCGGUGAAAAGCGUAGAUAUCAGGGAGAACACCGGUGGCGAAGGCGCUCUGCUAGGCCGCAACUGACACUGAGGGGCGAAAGCUAGGGGGGCGAAAGGGAUUAGAUACCCCCGUAGUCCUAGCUGUAAACGAUGGGUACUAGGCGUUUUCUGUAUCGACCCGGGCAGUGCCGUAGCUAACGCGUUAAGUAUCCCGCCUGGGGGGUACGCAGGCAACUGUGAAACUCAAAGGGAUUUACGGGGGCCCGCACAAGCGGUGGGGUAUGUGGUUUAAAUCGAUGCAACGCGAAGAACCUUACCCAGGCUUUACAUGUCCCGAAAUUCUUUGGAACGAGAAAGUGCCUUCGGGGGCCGGGACACAGGUGGUGCAUGGCUGUCGUCAGCUCGUGUCGUGAGAUGUUUGGUUAAGUCCCGCAACGAGCGAACCCUCGUUUUUAGUUUCCCGCACUUAGGGUGGGCACUCUAGAGAGACUGCCGGUGACAAACCGGGGGGAGGUGGGGGUGACGUCAAGUCAUCAUGCCCCUUACGUCUUUGGCUACACACGUACUACAAAGCUAUGGGCAAAGAGCAGCCCACCCGCGAUGGUGCGCUAAACUCAUAAACCCUGGCUCAGUUCAGAUCGCAGGCUGCAACUCGCCUGCGUGAAGUAGGGAUCGCUAGUAAAUUCAGGUCAGCAUACUGCAGUGAAAUCGUUCCCGGGCCUUUUACACACCGCCCGUCACACCCUGGGAGUUUGUCAUGCCCGAAGUCGUUACCCUAACCGUUCGCGGGGGGGGGUGCCGAAGGUGGGGCUGGUGACUGGGGUGAAGUCGUAACAAGGUAGCCGUACCGGGAGGUGUGGCUGGGUCACCUCCUUU
RNAcentral lists this ribosomal RNA (1459 nucleotides) under Calothrix sp. SERB 46. RNAcentral describes it as "bacterial SSU rRNA". It matches the Rfam family "Bacterial small subunit ribosomal RNA". Lineage: Bacteria; Bacillati; Cyanobacteriota; Cyanophyceae; Nostocales; Calotrichaceae. The record is from RNAcentral.